Molecule: ribosomal RNA, 372 nt
Filed under: uncultured bacterium
Lineage: Bacteria
Description: partial 16S ribosomal RNA
Rfam family: Bacterial small subunit ribosomal RNA
Source: RNAcentral
CCUACGGGAGGCUGCAGUAGGGAAUAUUGCUCAAUGGGGGAAACCCUGAAGCAGCAACGCCGCGUGGAGGAUGAAGGUUUUCGGAUUGUAAACUCCUUUUGUUAGAGAAGAUAAUGACGGUAUCUAACGAAUAAGCACCGGCUAACUCCGUGCCAGCAGCCGCGGUAAUACGGAGGGUGCAAGCGUUACUCGGAAUCACUGGGCGUAAAGAGCGCGUAGGCGGGAUAGCAAGUCAGAUGUGAAAUCCUAUGGCUUAACCAUAGAACUGCAUUUGAAACUGUUAUUCUAGAGUAUGGGAGAGGUAGUUGGAAUUCUGGGUGUAGGGGUAAAACCGGAAGAGAUCAGGAGGAAAAUUAAUGGCGAAGGGAACCU